Molecule: ribosomal RNA, 121 nt
Filed under: Chinchilla lanigera (long-tailed chinchilla)
Lineage: Eukaryota; Metazoa; Chordata; Mammalia; Rodentia; Chinchillidae
Source: RNAcentral
UAAGAAGACUUACCCAGUCUAUGGCCUGAACGCGCCUGAUCUCAUCUGAUCUCGGAACUAAGCAGGGUUGGGCCUGGUUAGUACUUAGAUGGAAGAAGAGUUACCCAGGGCAUUUUUCUAC